Musa acuminata AAA Group (dessert banana) is the source of this 3932-nucleotide RNA transcript. It is a transcript of the gene named regulator of telomere elongation helicase 1 homolog, with no coding region annotated. The transcript is spliced from 26 exons. The record is from RefSeq and is a predicted model, not a curated record. Lineage: Eukaryota; Viridiplantae; Streptophyta; Magnoliopsida; Zingiberales; Musaceae.
UCUCCUACUGCCUCAUGGUAGGGUUUCCAGGCGAUCCAUAACGGCCUCCGUUUGUUCUAUAUAGGGUAGCCAAGUGAAUCCGAUCAAUUGACCUCGAGACUUCGUUUUCUGAGGAACGCUAGAGGUUCCCUGUCGGCCGAGAUGCCCACGUACAAGAUCAGGGGGGUCGAUGUGGACUUUCCCUUCGACGCUUACGAUUGCCAGAUUGUUUACAUGGAGAAGGUCAUCCGAUCUUUGCAGGAGGGAUGCAAUGCUUUGUUGGAAAGCCCUACAGGAACUGGAAAAACAUUAUGCCUUUUGUGUGCCACACUGGCUUGGAGGAAGACUUUUGGUGAUUUUCUGACUAGUGCAAAUGAAGAAAGGAGCAACUUCUCUUUGAGUCACUCCUCUGGUAGUCAAUCAGCGGAGAAUGGGCAAACUAAUUACCCUGCCAUCAUAUAUACUUCAAGGACUCACAGCCAGCUUAAGCAAGUAAUACGAGAACUUAAAACAAGCAAUUACAGGCCAAAGAUGGCAGUUUUAGGGUCUCGUGAACAGAUGUGCAUCCAUGAUGAGGUGCGUCUGCUACGAGGUAGAGCGCAAAACAAUGCUUGCCAUUAUCUUUGCAAAAAGCGGUUAUGCCCUCAUCAACCUGGAGUUUCUGAGUACAUGAAGAAACAUCAUGAACUUGGAAAUGAGCCUUUUGACAUCGAAGACUUGGUUAAUACUGGGAGAACCAUGGGGCUAUGCCCAUAUUACAUAUCUAGAGAGCUUCACAAGGUUGUUGAUAUUCUGUUUGCCCCUUACAACUAUCUUAUUGAUCCUGGAAACCGGCGAUCUUUAUCAGGCAUUCAGUGGAACAAUGCAGUUCUUAUAUUUGAUGAAGCACAUAACCUGGAGAGUAUAUGUGCUGAUGCAGCUUCAUUCGACUUGCCUUCUGGUUACCUCACUGCUUGCAUUUCUGAAGCAAAACAAUGUGUUGACUUGUGUAUUAAAAGGAGGGUAAUUGAAAAAUCAGCUGAUAAAGAGUUUGACCCAGAAAAUUAUGCUAUUCUCAGAGCUCUUCUACUGAAGCUUGAAACACGUAUUGCUGAGGUGGCUAUUGAGUCCAGAGAAUUGGGUUUCACUCGACCUGGAGACUACAUUUAUGAGUUUCUUUCUGAUCUGAACAUCACAUAUGAGACAGCAAAUAUGCUUAUUGAUACGAUUGACAAUGCUGCUCUGCUUCUUGAGGAGGGGAAUACGUCUGGGGCCGGAACAGGAAUCAAAAUGAAGGGGGCAGUCUGCAGGUUAGAGAGCAUCAGGAAUAUGCUUAAUAUUAUCUUCCGAGAUGGUGGGAAGGAUCAUGCAAAAUUUUAUCGUUUUCAUGUGCAGGAAUCUCAACUAAGCAUUACAGAUUCUCUAAAAGGAAAGGUGUCAAGAACACUUAGUUGGUGGUGUUUUAACCCAGGGCUUGCCAUGCAACAGUUUGAAAGGUUGGGUGUAUGCUCUAUCAUACUGACAUCUGGCACUUUGUCUCCUCUAGACUCGUUUGCCUUGGAGCUGAACUUAGAAUUUCCAGUCAGGUUGGAGAAUCCCCAUGUUAUAACUCCUAAUCAAGUGUGGGUUGGAGUUGUGCCAAGUGGUCCAUCUAGUCAACCAUUUAAUUCUUCAUACAAAAAUCGUGAUUCUCUAGAAUAUAAGCAAGAACUUGGUAAUUCUAUAGUUAAUUUUGCUCGCAUAGUGCCGGAUGGCUUACUUGUAUUCUUCCCUUCAUAUUAUAUGAUGGAUCAGUGCAUUGAAUGCUGGAAAGACAUGGGUCACGCAAGCUCAAGCGAUUUUAGCACAAUCUGGGAAAGAAUUUCCAAAUACAAACAACCUAUUAUAGAGCCCAAACAAUCAUCACUUUUUCCACGUGCAAUUGAGGACUUUGAGUCAAAAAUACGUGAUAAUACCACUUCAGGGGCCAUAUUUUUUGCAGUUUGUCGUGGCAAAGUUAGUGAAGGUCUUGAUUUUGCUGACCGGGCUGGGAGAGCUGUGGUAGUUACUGGCCUGCCUUUUUCUACAAAGACUGAUCCCAAGGUUCGUCUCAAGCGUGAUUACUUGGAUCACUAUGCUACAUCGCAAAAGAAACAAUCUAAGGUUCUCACUGGCGAGGAGUGGUAUGUCCAGCAAGCUGCAAGGGCUGUGAAUCAGGCUGUUGGCCGUGUCAUUAGACAUUGUCAUGAUUAUGGAGCAAUUGUUUUCUGCGAUGAAAGGUUUGCUCAACAAAAUUGGCAGUGUCAAAUGUCAUACUGGCUCCGUCCUCAUAUCAAGUGCUAUCCCAAGUUUGGGGAUGUAGUUUUCACAUUGACUAGAUUCUUUCGAGACAAAGACUUUUGCGACUUGAAACCAAAACUAGCUAAAAGCUGCACUAAGGAGCAAAUGUUCGUGGCAGAGAAAUCUUUGAUGCCUCUGGAGAAGACCUUAUCAUUGAAGUCUAUCACCUCCUUGGCGCCUAAUACUGAACAUUGCUCCAGAAAGUCACUGUCAUCUGUGCUCUCAACUAACACAAGUAGUGGUUUUGAUCAUUUGGGGCAAAUAGUUCCCGCCAACCGUUCAUCGGUUUCUAAUGAACUUGGGUUCUGCUCGACCUUGCAACGUUCAGUAAAUCACUUCUGCCAUAAAAAGAGAUUACCAUUCAAGGAAGGAAUAUCUAAAAAUAUUCAGUAUCAGGAUACUGUAGUGAUUGAUUUGGCAAAUGAUACAUCAUCGAGUGAACAAGCAUGUGAGGUUGCAUUUGCAGCUACUUCUGCAAAAAGGCCUAAAACAUUGGAACCGGUUGAUAAUGUUGAAUGUCAAAAAGAUACAGAUUCAAAGUGGCCUGCAGAUUUUGGGAGUUCUACCAGUGUUAGGCUGACGCAACAUGUUCACACUGUGAAAGAAACUUUUCAGCAACCAACAUCACAUAAGGAGAAGCAUAAUACCUCUAUACCUUGUACUGAUAAAACUAGUGGUUCUGCUUUUCUAAUGCAGGUUCAAGAAAAGCUUACUGUUGCAGAAUAUAAGGAGUUUGUGGGCUUCAUGAAGGCAUUAAAAUCCAAAACAAUGAAAAUUACACCUUUGCUGGAGUCCAUUGCAAAGUUAUUUUCAAGUCCUGGGAGAUUUUCUCUUCUCGAGAGGUUCAAGGAUUUUGUUCCUGCAAAAUAUCAUCCCAUUUAUGAGCAGCUUCUUAGAGUUCAUGGCACGAACAAUGAUGUAUGAAUUGAAUCCAGUGCUUUAAUACAACAAGCUUCUGGAACUAUCCACAUAUCCGCAUUAUUGUACAUGUGCAACUUCAAAUUGUGUAUUCUAUCCUAUUUAAGCACCCUUGCUGAAUCAUUAUGGCUAGAUGCAGAAUAUUUAUUGUCUCAAAGCUUUUUUUGAUGAAUCAAGUGUCUCUUUAUUAUGCAAUCGGUGCUCAUUCAAGAGUGAAACAUGAGCCAAAUAUUAGCAUCUAGUGAGAGGUUCACACUUCAUCGGGGAUCUUUUGCAGCUAAUAUUAUGUGCCACGAGGAAGUCCGUGGGUCUUGAGUUAUCGACAAACCUGAUCCUUCUAUUCAUCGAAUGUGUCAGUGUUUAUUUUCUUUAAACAUUGUCCCCGGGAGGAGUCACUCUUUGUUGUACAGCGGAUGAGCAGCAUAAUUAAAUCUAGCUGAUGAUGGGCUUUACUAUACUGUAAGCCAGACAAUUGGUCUAUCUGCCUGUUCUGUUCAAACGUGAGAAGGCAGUUUGGGUUAGACGAGACAACGGUUGACUAGGCCUAAAGUAGAGGAUAUCGAUAAGCUGUGCUAAAUUAUCUGUGAGAGUUGCAAUGCCACUUCAUAUGAGUGUAAAUCUAGAGACACCCGUGGAUCUUGGUGAUAAUUCCAAGCCUAUCGGUUCUGCAGAUUGUUCUUAGAGAUCCGGAAGUGGUGUAUGGGUUUCUUCAUUGGAAAACUUUGUUACUCGCAUCA